Molecule: ribosomal RNA, 254 nt
Filed under: uncultured bacterium
Lineage: Bacteria
Description: partial 16S ribosomal RNA
Rfam family: Bacterial small subunit ribosomal RNA
Source: RNAcentral
UACGUAGGGAGCAAGCGUUGUCCGGAAUCAUUGGGCGUAAAGCGCGCGUAGGUGGCUCCAUAAGUCCGUUGUGAAAGUCAAAGGCUCAACCUUUGAAAGCCGAUGGAUACUGUGGAGCUAGAGUACGGAAGAGGCGAGUGGAAUUCCUGGUGUAGCGGUGGAAUGCGCAGAUAUCAGGAGGAACACCAAUAGCGAAGGCAGCUCGCUGGGACGUUACUGACACUGAGGCGCGAAAGCGUGGGGAGCGAACAGGA